UAACCAAUCACGCCUGGCGUGGUGUUGGGGCACACGGUUCCGUGGCCCUCAAAAUCAGUGGCGGCGCCGGUAGGCUCUAAGCGUAGUAACUUCUCUCGCUAUAGGGUCCUCCUGGUCGCUCGCCAGAACCCCCCAUUUUUUUUUAAA
This 147-nucleotide unclassified non-coding RNA is filed under the name uncultured Vibrissea. RNAcentral's name for it is "partial internal transcribed spacer 2". Lineage: Eukaryota; Fungi; Ascomycota; Leotiomycetes; Helotiales; Vibrisseaceae. The record is from RNAcentral.